This is a long non-coding RNA of Larimichthys crocea (large yellow croaker), 158 nucleotides long. RefSeq lists it as uncharacterized. The record is from RefSeq and is a predicted model, not a curated record. The transcript is spliced from 3 exons. NCBI's taxonomy places the organism in Eukaryota, Metazoa, Chordata, Actinopteri, Sciaenidae.
ACUUCUAAAUGCAAAUUCUCUGACCACAAUCAAAGAUGAUGCUUUCUCUGGCCUUCCACAUCUAGAAUAUUUAUUCAUUGAAGGGAACAAGAUCGAAACGAUCACCAAAAAUGCCUUUCGUGGUCUGCGAGAUUUGACUCAUCUGUCACUUGCCAAUA